Molecule: ribosomal RNA, 246 nt
Filed under: uncultured bacterium
Lineage: Bacteria
Description: partial 16S ribosomal RNA
Rfam family: Bacterial small subunit ribosomal RNA
Source: RNAcentral
UACGUAGGGGGCAAGCGUUGUCCGGAAUCAUUGGGCGUAAAGCGCGUGUAGGCGGUUCAGUAAGUCUGCUGUGAAAGUCCAGGGCUCAACCCUGGGAUGCCGGUGGAUACUGCUGGACUAGAGUGCGGAAGAGGCGAGUGGAAUUCCCGGUGUAGCGGUGAAAUGCGCAGAUAUCGGGAGGAACACCAAUUGCGAAGGCAGCUCGCUGGGACGUUACUGACGCUGAGGCGCGAAAGCGUGGGGAGC